Cricetulus griseus (Chinese hamster) is the source of this 73-nucleotide non-coding RNA. Lineage: Eukaryota; Metazoa; Chordata; Mammalia; Rodentia; Cricetidae. The record is from Rfam.
GGAGAGAUGGCUCGGUAGUUAAGAGUAUUGGCUGUUCUUCCAAAGGACCUGGGUUCAAUUCCCAGUUCCUACA